UAGAGCUUCAUGCCAUCGGGGCGAAAAGCUGGGUUCUCAAAGAACUCAACAAAUUGGUCGGUGUCCCUUUCAAGCCCCAUGUUUGGUAAAUCAGGCAUCAUGUGUGCCACCACUUUGAAGCCAGCAUCCUUGGCUAAGUGGAACGACUCGCACACAGCCUUCACGGUGUGACCUCUGUUGGUGUCCCUGGCCACGUCCUCGUACACACUCUGCACUCCAAUCUCCAGCCUCG
RNAcentral lists this long non-coding RNA (232 nucleotides) under Gallus gallus (chicken). The record is from RNAcentral. Lineage: Eukaryota; Metazoa; Chordata; Aves; Galliformes; Phasianidae.